This 188-nucleotide ribosomal RNA is filed under the name Flavobacterium sp. enrichment culture clone a17. Its description in RNAcentral is "partial 16S ribosomal RNA". It matches the Rfam family "Bacterial small subunit ribosomal RNA", at positions 338 to 523 of the family's 1533-position model. The record is from RNAcentral. Lineage: Bacteria; Pseudomonadati; Bacteroidota; Flavobacteriia; Flavobacteriales; Flavobacteriaceae.
CCUACGGGAGGCAGCAGUGAGGAAUAUUGGUCAAUGGACGCAAGUCUGAACCAGCCAUGCCGCGUGCAGGAUGACGGUCCUAUGGAUUGUAAACUGCUUUUGUACGAGAAGAAACACUCCUUCGUGAAGGAGCUUGACGGUAAUCGUAAGAAUAAGGAUCGGCUAACUCCGUGCCAGCACCGCGGUAA